AGUGAACGCUGGCGGUAGGCCUAACACAUGCAAGUCGAACGGCAGCACAGUAAGAGCUUGCUCUUACGGGUGGCGAGUGGCGGACGGGUGAGGAAUACAUCGGAAUCUACUUUUUCGUGGGGGAUAACGUAGGGAAACUUACGCUAAUACCGCAUACGACCUACGGGUGGAAGCAGGGGAUCUUCGGACCUUGCGCGAUUGAAUGAGCCGAUGUCGGAUUAGCUAGUUGGCGGGGUAAGGGCCCACCAAGGCGACGAUCCGUAGCUGGUCUGAGAGGAUGAUCAGCCACACUGGAACUGAGACACGGUCCAGACUCCUACGGGAGGCAGCAGUGGGGAAUAUUGGACAAUGGGCGCAAGCCUGAUCCAGCCAUACCGCGUGGGUGAAGAAGGCCUUCGGGUUGUAAAGCCCUUUUGUUGGGAAAGAAAAGCAGCAGGUUAAUACCCCGCUGUUCUGACGGUACCCAAAGAAUAAGCACCGGCUAACUUCGUG
This 492-nucleotide ribosomal RNA is filed under the name uncultured bacterium. RNAcentral's name for it is "partial 16S ribosomal RNA". It matches the Rfam family "Bacterial small subunit ribosomal RNA", at positions 29 to 507 of the family's 1533-position model. The record is from RNAcentral.